GUACCUGUAGUAUAAUGGAUAGAACGUCGUCCUCCGGAGACGAAAAUGCGGGUUCGAUUCCCGCCAGGUGCG
Eubacterium ventriosum ATCC 27560 is the source of this 72-nucleotide non-coding RNA. The record is from Rfam. Lineage: Bacteria; Bacillati; Bacillota; Clostridia; Eubacteriales; Eubacteriaceae.